GACCCAGUGGCUAGCGGUGGCGCCCGCACCAAAUGGAUCGUUAUUGCUGAACCUGAUGUAAGCGGGAGGUUCUGGUUCGAUUCCGGGCUGGUCU
Mycena leptocephala is the source of this 94-nucleotide non-coding RNA. NCBI's taxonomy places the organism in Eukaryota, Fungi, Basidiomycota, Agaricomycetes, Agaricales, Mycenaceae. The record is from the annotation of a GenBank genome assembly.